This 87-nucleotide transfer RNA is filed under the name marine eukaryotic metagenome. It matches the Rfam family "tRNA". Rfam says of the family: Transfer RNA (tRNA) molecules are approximately 80 nucleotides in length. The record is from RNAcentral.
GAGAGAUGGCUGAGUGGUCGAAAGCAACGGUUUGCUAAACCGUCGUACCCGUCAAAAGGUACCGCGGGUUCGAAUCCCGCUCUCUCC